AAAAUGGGCCGCUCUGUUACUACAGAUGCAACAAGUGCCAGUCCACUUUUUCUCAGCUGCACCCUCUCAGUUCAGGCAGCAGCAGUACCAGGUGUAUGUACAUAACUUCCAAGACACACGAGUGCAAUUCUGAAGCUGAUUUUCAGCCAUGGAGAGAAGAAAUGCAGGAUGCAGCCAAGAGUCAUUUUACUAAAGGCACAGGGAGAGGACACAUCAAAGGAAAAGGUCCAUCAAAUCACAAUGUUCCGUCAGGCGUGGGGACACCUGCCUUGCUGAUAUGUCUGCAAUGUUCCAAACUGGCAAGGUCUCAUUUGUCUUCCAAGCUUCCUAUUAUGCACAUGAUUUUGGGGCUGUCCUACACCCCACUUACAAAAACAGAGGAAGAUGUAAUAGAGGCAGC
Long non-coding RNA from Ornithodoros turicata, 400 nucleotides. RefSeq lists it as uncharacterized. The record is from RefSeq and is a predicted model, not a curated record. NCBI's taxonomy places the organism in Eukaryota, Metazoa, Arthropoda, Arachnida, Ixodida, Argasidae. The transcript has 3 exons.